RNAcentral lists this ribosomal RNA (253 nucleotides) under uncultured bacterium. Its description in RNAcentral is "partial 16S ribosomal RNA". It matches the Rfam family "Bacterial small subunit ribosomal RNA", at positions 524 to 776 of the family's 1533-position model. The record is from RNAcentral.
GACGGAGGAUGCAAGUGUUAUCCGGAAUCACUGGGCGUAAAGCGUCUGUAGGUGGUUUAAUAAGUCAACUGUUAAAUCUUGAGGCUCAACCUCAAAAUCGCAGUCGAAACUAUUAGGCUAGAGUAUAGUAGGGGUAAAGGGAAUUUCCAGUGGAGCGGUGAAAUGCGUAGAGAUUGGGAAGAACACCGAUGGCGAAGGCACUUUACUGGGCUAUUACUAACACUCAGAGACGAAAGCUAGGGUAGCAAAUGGG